AAACCCUAGAUCGAAUCGAAGCUAAAUAAGUACAUCGACGCGAACAACUGAAAUGCAAUGUGCGAAAAAACCCUACUAAGGAGGUUUAUCCUUCAGAAGAAAUCCAAUUCAAAACCUGGAUCUCGCGCCCGAGCCCUUGAUUCGAACAAACCCUAGAGAAAAAAAGUGAGAUCAGACAGAAACCACUCUUCGCUAUUAUUCUUCACCGAAAGAGCGAAGACAAAACAGAAGUGAGAGAGAGAGAGAGAGAACGAGAGAGAGA
RNAcentral lists this unclassified non-coding RNA (262 nucleotides) under Hevea brasiliensis (rubber tree). The record is from RNAcentral. Lineage: Eukaryota; Viridiplantae; Streptophyta; Magnoliopsida; Malpighiales; Euphorbiaceae.